GACAGAGGGUGCAAACGUUGUUCGGAUUUACUGGGCGUAAAGCGCGUGUAGGCGGCAGGGCAUGUCGGAUGUGAAAUCCCGUGGCUCAACCACGGAAGUGCACCCGAAACUGCCCAGCUUGAGUCUCGGAGAGGAAGGCGGAAUGCUUGGUGUAGAGGUGAAAUUCGUAGAUAUCAAGCGGAACACCGGUGGCGAAGGCGGCCUUCUGGACGAUGACUGACGCUGAGACGCGAAAGCGUGGGGAGCAAACAGG
Molecule: ribosomal RNA, 253 nt
Filed under: uncultured bacterium
Lineage: Bacteria
Description: partial 16S ribosomal RNA
Rfam family: Bacterial small subunit ribosomal RNA
Source: RNAcentral